GGGGGGGGCAAGCGUUGUUCGGAAUUACUGGGCGUAAAGGGCUCGUAGGCGGCCAACUAAGUCAGACGUGAAAUCCCCAGGCUUAACCUGGGAACUGCGUCUGAUACUGGAUGGCUUGAAAUCGGGAGAGGGAUGCAGAAUUCCAGGUGUAGCGGUGAAAUGCGUAGAUAUCUGGAGGGAUACCGGUGGCGAAGGCGGCAUCCUGGACCGACAUUGACGCUGAGGAGCGAAAGCUAGGGGAGCAAACGGGAUUAGAUACCCCGGUAGUCCUAGCCCUAAACGAUGAAUGCUUGGUGUGGCGGGUAUCGAUCCCUGCCGUGCCGAAGCUAACGCAUUAAGCAUUCCGCCUGGGGAGUACGGUCGCAAGGGUG
This 371-nucleotide ribosomal RNA is filed under the name uncultured bacterium. Its description in RNAcentral is "bacterial SSU rRNA". It matches the Rfam family "Bacterial small subunit ribosomal RNA", at positions 527 to 896 of the family's 1533-position model. The record is from RNAcentral.